AUUGAACGCUGGCGGCAGGCCUAACACAUGCAAGUCGAGCGGAUGAAGGGAGCUUGCUCCUGGAUUCAGCGGCGGACGGGUGAGCAAUGCCUAGGAAUCUGCCUGGUAGUGGGGGAUAACGUCCGGAAACGGGCGCUAAUACCGCAUACGUCCUGAGGGAGAAAGUGGGGGAUCUUCGGACCUCACGCUAUCAGAUGAGCCUAGGUCGGAUUAGCUAGUUGGUGGGGUAAAGGCCUACCAAGGCGACGAUCCGUAACUGGUCUGAGAGGAUGAUCAGUCACACUAGAGCUGAGACACGGUCCAGACUCCUACGGGAGGCAGCAGUGGGGAAUAUUGGACAAUGGGCGAAAGCCUGGUCCAGCCAUGCCGCGUGUGUGAAGAAGGUCUUCGGAUUGUAAAGCACUUUAAGUUGGGAGGAAGGGCAGUAAGUUAAUACCUUGCUGUUUUGACGUUACCAACAGAAUAAGCACCGGCUAACUUCGUG
This 484-nucleotide ribosomal RNA is filed under the name uncultured bacterium. RNAcentral describes it as "partial 16S ribosomal RNA". It matches the Rfam family "Bacterial small subunit ribosomal RNA", at positions 30 to 507 of the family's 1533-position model. The record is from RNAcentral.